This 715-nucleotide long non-coding RNA is filed under the name Homo sapiens (human). RNAcentral describes it as "non-protein coding lnc-FCRL1-1:4". Lineage: Eukaryota; Metazoa; Chordata; Mammalia; Primates; Hominidae. The record is from RNAcentral.
AACCAAGAGAACAAUCAGUGGCUGUGCAUGGCAGACAACAGCAUUCCUCAGAGCAGAAGGCUGUGAGCAUCACUGUGUGUACUUAAUGGCUGUCCUUGGGUCUGGAGCUACCUUGAGUAGAGCCCAGAGCUAAUGCUAAGCAGAAACCCUGGGGACACAUAUGGAGGACAAGGUUUCCUUAGACAUCUAUUCCAGGCUGAGGAAAGCAAACAUUACAGAUGUGGACUAUGAAGAUGCUAUGUAAGGUUAUGGAAGAUUCUGCUCUUUGAAAACCAUCCAUGACCCCAAGCCUCAGGCCUGAUAUGUUCUUCAGAGAUCCUGGGGCAUUAGCUUUCCAGUAUACCUCUUCUGGAUGCCAUUCUCCAUGGCACUAUUCCUUCAUCUACUGUGAAGUGAAGUUGGCGCAGCCCUGAAGAAACUACCUAGGAGAACUAAUAGACACAGGAGUGACAGGGACUUUGUUAUCAGAACCAGAUUCCUGCCGGCUCCUUUGAAAACAGGUCAUAUUGUGCUCUUCUGUUUACAAGAGGAAACAAGAUGGAAUAAAAGAAAUUGGGAUCUUGGGUUGGAGGGACAGUGAAGCUUAGAGCACAUGAACUCAAGGUUAGUGACUCUGCAGGACUUCACAGAGAGAGCUGUGCCCAUCAUUCAGUCCAAGUGCUUUCUCUGCCCAGACAGCACAGAACUCCAGCCCCGCUACUUACAUGGAUCAUCG